Molecule: ribosomal RNA, 253 nt
Filed under: uncultured bacterium
Lineage: Bacteria
Description: partial 16S ribosomal RNA
Rfam family: Bacterial small subunit ribosomal RNA
Source: RNAcentral
UACGAAGGGGGCUAGCGUUAAUCGGAAUUACUGGGCGUAAAGCGUGCGCAGGCGGUUGUGUAAGACAGAUGUGAAAUCCCCGGGCUCAACCUGGGAACUGCAUUUGUGACUGCACAGCUGGAGUGCGGCAGAGGGGGAUGGAAUUCCGCGUGUAGCAGUGAAAUGCGUAGAUAUGCGGAGGAACACCGAUGGCGAAGGCAAUCCCCUGGGCCUGCACUGACGCUCAUGCACGAAAGCGUGGGGAGCAAACAGG